AUUGAACGCUGGCGGCAGGCCUAACACAUGCAAGUCGAACGAGUGGCGGACGGGUGAGUAAUGUCUGGGAAACUGCCUGAUGGAGGGGGAUAACUACUGGAAACGGUAGCUAAUACCGCAUACCAUCAGAUGUGCCCAGAUGGGAUUAGCUAGUUGGUGGGGUCACGGCUCACCAAGGCGACGAUCCCUAGCUGGUCUGAGAGGAUUACCAGCCACACGGGAACGUGGACACGGUCCAGACGCCUACGUGAGGCAGCAGUGGGGAAUAUUUCACAAUGGGCGCAAGCCUGAUGCAGCCAUGCCGCGUGUAUGAAGAAGGCCUUCGGGUUGUAAAGUACUGUCAGCGGGGAGGCGUUACCCGCAGAAGAAGCACCGGCUAACUCCGUGCCAGCCGCCGCGGUAAUAC
This 406-nucleotide ribosomal RNA is filed under the name uncultured bacterium. RNAcentral's name for it is "partial 16S ribosomal RNA". It matches the Rfam family "Bacterial small subunit ribosomal RNA", at positions 30 to 526 of the family's 1533-position model. The record is from RNAcentral.